ACGCAGUACUUCGGUACUGAGUGGCGGACGGGUGAGUAACGCGUGAGAGUCUGCCUAGAGGUCGGGGACAACCAUUGGAAACGAUGGCUAAUACCGGAUAUGCCUUACGGGGUGAAAGAUUUAUUGCCUUUAGAAGAGCUCGCGUCUGAUUAGCUAGUUGGUAGGGUAAAAGCCUACCAAGGCGACGAUCGGUAACUGGUCUGAGAGGAUGACCAGUCACACUGGGACUGAGACACGGCCCAGACUCCUACGGGAGGCAGCAGUGGGGAAUUUUCCGCAAUGGGCGAAAGCCUGACGGAGCAAUACCGCGUGGGGGAGGAAGGCUCUUGGGUUGUAAACCUCUUUUCUCAGGGAAGAACACAAUGACGGUACCUGAGGAAUCAGCAUCGGCUAACUCCGUGCCAGCAGCCGCGGUAAUACGGAGGAUGCAAGCGUUAUCCGGAAUGAUUGGGCGUAAAGCGUCCGCAGGUGGCUUUGCAAGUCUGCUGUCAAAGCUCAGGGCUUAACCCUGAAUCGGCGGUGGAAACUGAAAGGCUAGAGUGUGGUAGGGGCAGAGGGAAUUCCCAGUGUAGCGGUGAAAUGCGUAGAGAUUGGGAAGAACACCAGUGGCGAAAGCGCUCUGCUAGACCGCAACUGACACUCAUGGACGAAAGCUAGGGGAGCGAAUGGGAUUAGAUACCCCCAGUAGUC
Molecule: ribosomal RNA, 690 nt
Filed under: uncultured cyanobacterium
Lineage: Bacteria; Bacillati; Cyanobacteriota
Description: bacterial SSU rRNA
Rfam family: Bacterial small subunit ribosomal RNA
Source: RNAcentral